RNAcentral lists this ribosomal RNA (2903 nucleotides) under Escherichia coli. RNAcentral's name for it is "23S ribosomal RNA". It matches the Rfam family "Bacterial large subunit ribosomal RNA". The record is from RNAcentral. Lineage: Bacteria; Pseudomonadati; Pseudomonadota; Gammaproteobacteria; Enterobacterales; Enterobacteriaceae.
GGUUAAGCGACUAAGCGUACACGGUGGAUGCCCUGGCAGUCAGAGGCGAUGAAGGACGUGCUAAUCUGCGAUAAGCGUCGGUAAGGUGAUAUGAACCGUUAUAACCGGCGAUUUCCGAAUGGGGAAACCCAGUGUGUUUCGACACACUAUCAUUAACUGAAUCCAUAGGUUAAUGAGGCGAACCGGGGGAACUGAAACAUCUAAGUACCCCGAGGAAAAGAAAUCAACCGAGAUUCCCCCAGUAGCGGCGAGCGAACGGGGAGCAGCCCAGAGCCUGAAUCAGUGUGUGUGUUAGUGGAAGCGUCUGGAAAGGCGCGCGAUACAGGGUGACAGCCCCGUACACAAAAAUGCACAUACUGUGAGCUCGAUGAGUAGGGCGGGACACGUGGUAUCCUGUCUGAAUAUGGGGGGACCAUCCUCCAAGGCUAAAUACUCCUGACUGACCGAUAGUGAACCAGUACCGUGAGGGAAAGGCGAAAAGAACCCCGGCGAGGGGAGUGAAAAAGAACCUGAAACCGUGUACGUACAAGCAGUGGGAGCCUCUUUUAUGGGGUGACUGCGUACCUUUUGUAUAAUGGGUCAGCGACUUAUAUUCUGUAGCAAGGUUAACCGAAUAGGGGAGCCGAAGGGAAACCGAGUCUUAACUGGGCGUUAAGUUGCAGGGUAUAGACCCGAAACCCGGUGAUCUAGCCAUGGGCAGGUUGAAGGUUGGGUAACACUAACUGGAGGACCGAACCGACUAAUGUUGAAAAAUUAGCGGAUGACUUGUGGCUGGGGGUGAAAGGCCAAUCAAACCGGGAGAUAGCUGGUUCUCCCCGAAAGCUAUUUAGGUAGCGCCUCGUGAAUUCAUCUCCGGGGGUAGAGCACUGUUUCGGCAAGGGGGUCAUCCCGACUUACCAACCCGAUGCAAACUGCGAAUACCGGAGAAUGUUAUCACGGGAGACACACGGCGGGUGCUAACGUCCGUCGUGAAGAGGGAAACAACCCAGACCGCCAGCUAAGGUCCCAAAGUCAUGGUUAAGUGGGAAACGAUGUGGGAAGGCCCAGACAGCCAGGAUGUUGGCUUAGAAGCAGCCAUCAUUUAAAGAAAGCGUAAUAGCUCACUGGUCGAGUCGGCCUGCGCGGAAGAUGUAACGGGGCUAAACCAUGCACCGAAGCUGCGGCAGCGACACUAUGUGUUGUUGGGUAGGGGAGCGUUCUGUAAGCCUGUGAAGGUGUGCUGUGAGGCAUGCUGGAGGUAUCAGAAGUGCGAAUGCUGACAUAAGUAACGAUAAAGCGGGUGAAAAGCCCGCUCGCCGGAAGACCAAGGGUUCCUGUCCAACGUUAAUCGGGGCAGGGUGAGUCGACCCCUAAGGCGAGGCCGAAAGGCGUAGUCGAUGGGAAACAGGUUAAUAUUCCUGUACUUGGUGUUACUGCGAAGGGGGGACGGAGAAGGCUAUGUUGGCCGGGCGACGGUUGUCCCGGUUUAAGCGUGUAGGCUGGUUUUCCAGGCAAAUCCGGAAAAUCAAGGCUGAGGCGUGAUGACGAGGCACUACGGUGCUGAAGCAACAAAUGCCCUGCUUCCAGGAAAAGCCUCUAAGCAUCAGGUAACAUCAAAUCGUACCCCAAACCGACACAGGUGGUCAGGUAGAGAAUACCAAGGCGCUUGAGAGAACUCGGGUGAAGGAACUAGGCAAAAUGGUGCCGUAACUUCGGGAGAAGGCACGCUGAUAUGUAGGUGAAGCGACUUGCUCGUGGAGCUGAAAUCAGUCGAAGAUACCAGCUGGCUGCAACUGUUUAUUAAAAACACAGCACUGUGCAAACACGAAAGUGGACGUAUACGGUGUGACGCCUGCCCGGUGCCGGAAGGUUAAUUGAUGGGGUCAGCGCAAGCGAAGCUCUUGAUCGAAGCCCCGGUAAACGGCGGCCGUAACUAUAACGGUCCUAAGGUAGCGAAAUUCCUUGUCGGGUAAGUUCCGACCUGCACGAAUGGCGUAAUGAUGGCCAGGCUGUCUCCACCCGAGACUCAGUGAAAUUGAACUCGCUGUGAAGAUGCAGUGUACCCGCGGCAAGACGGAAAGACCCCGUGAACCUUUACUAUAGCUUGACACUGAACAUUGAGCCUUGAUGUGUAGGAUAGGUGGGAGGCUUAGAAGUGUGGACGCCAGUCUGCAUGGAGCCGACCUUGAAAUACCACCCUUUAAUGUUUGAUGUUCUAACGUUGACCCGUGAUCCGGGUUGCGGACAGUGUCUGGUGGGUAGUUUGACUGGGGCGGUCUCCUCCUAAAGAGUAACGGAGGAGCACGAAGGUUGGCUAAUCCUGGUCGGACAUCAGGAGGUUAGUGCAAUGGCAUAAGCCAGCUUGACUGCGAGCGUGACGGCGCGAGCAGGUGCGAAAGCAGGUCAUAGUGAUCCGGUGGUUCUGAAUGGAAGGGCCAUCGCUCAACGGAUAAAAGGUACUCCGGGGAUAACAGGCUGAUACCGCCCAAGAGUUCAUAUCGACGGCGGUGUUUGGCACCUCGAUGUCGGCUCAUCACAUCCUGGGGCUGAAGUAGGUCCCAAGGGUAUGGCUGUUCGCCAUUUAAAGUGGUACGCGAGCUGGGUUUAGAACGUCGUGAGACAGUUCGGUCCCUAUCUGCCGUGGGCGCUGGAGAACUGAGGGGGGCUGCUCCUAGUACGAGAGGACCGGAGUGGACGCAUCACUGGUGUUCGGGUUGUCAUGCCAAUGGCACUGCCCGGUAGCUAAAUGCGGAAGAGAUAAGUGCUGAAAGCAUCUAAGCACGAAACUUGCCCCGAGAUGAGUUCUCCCUGACUCCUUGAGAGUCCUGAAGGAACGUUGAAGACGACGACGUUGAUAGGCCGGGUGUGUAAGCGCAGCGAUGCGUUGAGCUAACCGGUACUAAUGAACCGUGAGGCUUAACCUU